RNAcentral lists this ribosomal RNA (359 nucleotides) under uncultured bacterium. RNAcentral describes it as "bacterial SSU rRNA". It matches the Rfam family "Bacterial small subunit ribosomal RNA", at positions 29 to 416 of the family's 1533-position model. The record is from RNAcentral.
AACGAACGCUGGCGGCAUGCCUAACACAUGCAAGUCGAACGAGACCUUCGGGUCUAGUGGCGCACGGGUGCGUAACACGUGGGAAUUUGCCUCGGGGUAUGGAAUAACUCAGGGAAACUUGAGCUAAUACCAUAUAAUGUCUUCGGACCAAAGAUUUAUCGCCCUGAGAUAAGCCCGCGUAGGAUUAGCUAGUUGGUGGGGUAAAGGCUCACCAAGGCGACGAUCCUUAGCUGGUCUGAGAGGAUGAUCAGCCACACUGGGACUGAGACACGGCCCAGACUCCUACGGGAGGCAGCAGUGGGAAUAUUGGACAAUGGGCGAAAGCCUGAUCCAGCAAUGCCGCGUGAGUGAUGAAGGCC